UAAGGUGGUUAUUGCGGCGGGGCUCACCUCUUCCCAUUCCGAACAGAGUAGUUAAGCCCGCCUGCGCAGAUGGUACUGCAAACCUGUGGGAGAGUAUGUCGCCGCCUUUC
RNAcentral lists this ribosomal RNA (110 nucleotides) under Flavobacterium enshiense DK69. RNAcentral also lists the same sequence under 1 other name. Lineage: Bacteria; Pseudomonadati; Bacteroidota; Flavobacteriia; Flavobacteriales; Flavobacteriaceae. The record is from RNAcentral.